CUCUCAACAAGAGACCAAAUGACACAGAAAUUAACAUCUAUUGGUCACCGUACGGCCUUCAACAGUUUACAAAGCCAAUAAUACAUUGUCAACUAUAAAAGGCUUCGAAAUGAUAUUGUAAAACAAUUCAAAUGAGAAAACUAACGGCCUAAUCUAUGUACAAACAAUGAACGAAAAACAAGUAUGUAUCACACAAACAUACAACCACUGAAUUACAGGCUCAUGGAUUGGUACAGCACACACAUACAGCAUGUAUUGGGGUUAAAUAUGUUAGCGGGAUCCCAACCCUCUGUUCAAUAUCGAAAUAGUGUCAGUUGUUUCCGAGUGUGUUAUAAUGUAGGGUUGAAUGUGAUUGUUGAAAUCGCAAUUUAGUAUCAGUCAUCUGACGCGUCAAUGAAAUAAUCUACGAUAAGCAUAUCCAAUAUGUAAAUAUCUGCUUAUGAAAAUGACUAUCGCGUUUAUUUCAUUAUCAAAGUGGCCACCUCUGAUAUUGUUACAGACUUUGUGCGCAAUUCUUCCUGAAAUCGGAGUCUUUGGUUAAAAAACUAUAUGAAAAAAUCACAUGAUAAAGACAAUCAAAGAGGUUAACAUUGACCAUAAAAAUAAGGUAAAGGUAAGAUUAAAGCUUACAACCAUACGGUACCCUAUACAUAUGAAUUUGACAUAAU
This 668-nucleotide long non-coding RNA is filed under the name Mytilus galloprovincialis (Mediterranean mussel). The record is from RNAcentral. Lineage: Eukaryota; Metazoa; Mollusca; Bivalvia; Mytilida; Mytilidae.